This 389-nucleotide ribosomal RNA is filed under the name uncultured bacterium. Its description in RNAcentral is "bacterial SSU rRNA". It matches the Rfam family "Bacterial small subunit ribosomal RNA", at positions 28 to 419 of the family's 1533-position model. The record is from RNAcentral.
AUUGAACGCUGGCGGCAUGCUUUACACAUGCAAGUCGAGCGGCAGCGCGGGGGCAACCCUGGCGGCGAGCGGCGAACGGGUGAGUAAUGCAUCGGAACGUACCCUGGAGUGGGGGGUAACGCCGCGAAAGCGGCGCUAAUACCGCAUAUGCUCUGAGGAGGAAAGUGGGGGACCGCAAGGCCUCACGCUCUGGGAGCGGCCGAUGUCCGAUUAGCUAGUUGGUGAGGUAAAGGCUUACCAAGGCGACGAUCGGUAGCUGGUCUGAGAGGAUGAUCAGCCACACUGGGACUGAGACACGGCCCAGACUCCUACGGGAGGCAGCAGUGGGGAAUUUUGGACAAUGGGGGCAACCCUGAUCCAGCCAUGCCGCGUGAGUGAAGAAGGCCUUC